CGGCUUGUCCGUCGGGUGUGAAAGCCCGGGGCUUAACCCCGGGUCUGCAUCCGAUACGGGCAGGCUAGAGUGUGGUAGGGGAGAUCGGAAUUCCUGGUGUAGCGGUGAAAUGCGCAGAUAUCAGGAGGAACACCGGUGGCGAAGGCGGAUCUCUGGGCCAUUACUGACGCUGAGGAGCGAAAGCGUGGGGAGCGAACAGGAUUAGAUACCCUGGUAGUCCACGCCGUAAACGUUGGGAACUAGGUGUUGGCAACAUUCCACGUC
RNAcentral lists this ribosomal RNA (264 nucleotides) under Streptomyces zaomyceticus. Its description in RNAcentral is "partial 16S ribosomal RNA". It matches the Rfam family "Bacterial small subunit ribosomal RNA", at positions 576 to 838 of the family's 1533-position model. Lineage: Bacteria; Bacillati; Actinomycetota; Actinomycetes; Kitasatosporales; Streptomycetaceae. The record is from RNAcentral.